Molecule: small RNA, 1764 nt
Filed under: Pan troglodytes (chimpanzee)
Lineage: Eukaryota; Metazoa; Chordata; Mammalia; Primates; Hominidae
Description: processed transcript
Source: RNAcentral
GGGAGCCGCGAUCCGGCCGCGCCGCCCGCACGCCGCCGCGCCCGCCCCAGCCCGCCCGGCCCCGCGGCGGGGCGCGAUGAGCCCGAGCGCGAGCCGGCCCGCCGGGGAGUGAGCGCGGGGCGCCCAGGGCGCGUUGCGCAGCUGCUCCUGCGCACAACCCCGCCGCGCCGCCGGCCCGCACUGGCCGCGGAGUGCAAGAGGCUCGUCCGUGCCCAGCGCCCGGCCGGCCGCGGGAGCAGGAAGCGCAGGCCACGCAGGACCCAACUGAAACAAAGUGUCGGCCGCCCGGCGCGGGCGCCCGCCCCGACCCUGCCCCUCCCGCCCGCAACUCCGCCGCCCACCAUGGCUUCCGAGGAGCUGUACGAGGUACAUCUCCGUUCAUGGAUGCAUUAACAGCCAAUGGGACAACCAACAUACAGACAUCUGUUACAGGAGUGACUGCCAGCAAAAGGAAAUUUAUUGACGACAGAAGAGACCAGCCUUUUGACAAGCGAUUGCGUUUCAGCGUGAGGCAAACAGAAAGUGCCUACAGAUACAGAGAUAUUGUGGUCAGGAAGCAGGAUGGCUUCACCCACAUCUUGUUAUCCACAAAGUCCUCAGAGAAUAACUCACUAAAUCCAGAGGUAAUGAGAGAAGUCCAGAGUGCUCUGAGCACGGCCGCUGCCGAUGACAGCAAGCUGGUACUGCUCAGCGCCGUUGGCAGCGUCUUCUGUUGUGGACUUGACUUUAUUUAUUUUAUACGACGUCUGACAGAUGACAGGAAAAGAGAAAGCACUAAAAUGGCAGAAGCUAUCAGAAACUUCGUGAAUACUUUCAUUCAAUUUAAGAAGCCCAUUAUUGUAGCAGUCAAUGGCCCAGCCAUUGGUCUAGGAGCAUCUAUAUUGCCUCUUUGCGAUGUGGUUUGGGCUAAUGAAAAGGCUUGGUUUCAAACACCCUAUACCACCUUCGGACAGAGUCCAGAUGGCUGUUCUACCGUUAUGUUUCCCAAGAUAAUGGGAGGAGCAUCUGCAAACGAGAUGCUGCUCAGUGGACGGAAGCUGACGGCGCAGGAGGCGUGUGGCAAGGGCCUGGUCUCCCAGGUGUUUUGGCCCGGGACAUUCACUCAGGAAGUGAUGGUUCGCAUUAAGGAGCUUGCCUCGUGCAAUCCAGUUGUGCUUGAGGAAUCCAAAGCCCUCGUGCGCUGCAACAUGAAGAUGGAGCUGGAGCAGGCCAACGAGAGGGAGUGUGAGGUGCUGAAGAAAAUCUGGGGCUCGGCCCAGGGGAUGGACUCCAUGUUAAAGUACUUGCAGAGGAAGAUCGAUGAGUUCUGAGUGUCGGGCUGCCCACUGGUGACACCGGGAUCGGGCUGAGCAGGAGUACAUCACCGGCUCCAGUUGCCCUGAUCCAUUCUCACAGCCUGAGACAAGCUCACCCGUAGCUUACGCUUGGAAGCAGGACUGGGAACAUCCACGCUAUUUAUUAUCGAGGAGUUUUAAAGUACUGUAACUUUAAAAUAAAUAACUACAAAGCUUCUUUGUCCAAACGUCAUUAUUUUAUACUUAUAUACACGCAGGUGUAAAAGUAUAAAGGUGAGCACUAGACUGCUCUUAGAAGCUCUAAUUUUUGUUUUCUUUGGCUAGUACUGUAUAAAAAACAGAAUUGUGUUUUAUUGGUUUUGGAUGACAGAAAAGUCUGGAAUAAUGUUUGUUUUCCUCAUUUCUUCCUUCUAGAACACAGAAUCUAAAGGGGUAUUAGCCAGCCUCGCCUCCCUGCCCCACGUAGAGA